Molecule: long non-coding RNA, 1027 nt
Organism: Hippocampus comes (tiger tail seahorse)
Lineage: Eukaryota; Metazoa; Chordata; Actinopteri; Syngnathiformes; Syngnathidae
Exons: 2
Source: RefSeq, a predicted model, not a curated record
CUAUUCUGUCCCGUUUUCAACAAAGUGACCCAAAUUGUUGUUUGCAUCGGAUUCAUCAUUUAAGGAUUGACAAUGCGAAGUUUGGUGCCUGACUUUCAAGGGCAAUAAGAAUCGUCACGCAAAUGCUUUGUCCUGCACGCGUGCAUGAGCGAUGACGGGCCACAAUGUCGGAGGAAAGGGCAACGAGUGACUUGAAUUCACCAUCCGGGAUGUCCUGCGGUAACCCGGACGCGCGCGUAUUUUGCCCGACGCCAACAUAGAGACGCAAGGUCCAGAAUCCUCUCAGGAAACUUGCGAGCGUGUCGGCGAUUGUUGCGACGGGAUCGAAAAGGUCGAGAGGACGUGAGGGGCAGCGAGGACGUCGCCCUGCGGACAGCGCGCCUGCUGCUCGGCUUCUGGACCGGGACGCGACGCCGGAGUCCGCAUCCGAACAGGUCAGAGGUCGUUUUGUGGCGGUUUUGAUUGAGGCCCAGCGGCGCGCUCAAAUGACCGACUGCCCGUGUGUGCGCGCGCCCUUUUUUGUCAUGUGUGUGCAUCGAAAGUAUUUGGGUGUCCUACGCCCAUCAUGGAAUCAUCCACAUCAAGCGGGAAAGGUUCUCUUAAAAACAAAACCAAAAGGUGUUUUUCAUGAUUUCUUCCUCCAUUUUUAAUAGUCAUCCAAUUUUGCGUUGCUCCACCAGACUACUACUCCCAAGAUUUUCAGUUCGGAUGGAUAUAGUUCCAUAUAUGCGUGAAUGGACGCAACAGUGAAGCCACCGACGGCCAUUUUACGUUGCCGCACUUGAAGGCGUUGAUUUCUCGCUGGCGUUUUCACAUUCUUUUUCCAUCUCUGCGGUGGUUUCAGGCCCCAAACGUCUUUUUCUGCACAAUAACUUUUGACUCUCUGAGGUCUUUUUUUAUCUGUGCUCCACAUGUUGUUCCCACUGGCCGGCCACUUCACCGCUCGACUGUCAUCCAGUUUGUCACUUAAAAAAAAAAAUUCAAUAUGCUACUUUGUCAAAGAAAUAAAGCUAGAUGACAAAGAACA